Molecule: ribosomal RNA, 267 nt
Filed under: uncultured bacterium
Lineage: Bacteria
Description: partial 16S ribosomal RNA
Rfam family: Bacterial small subunit ribosomal RNA
Source: RNAcentral
UACGUAGGGGGCUAGCGUUGUCCGGAAUCAUUGGGCGUAAAGCGCGCGUAGGCGGUCAGGUAAGUCCGGUGUGAAAGUCAAAGGCUCAACCUUUGAAUGCCGCUGGAUACUGCCUGACUUGAGUCCGGAAGGGGCGAGUGGAAUUCCUGGUGUAGCGGUGAAAUUCGUAGAUAUCAGGAGGAACACCAGUGGCGAAGGCGGCUUUCUGGACGGUAACUGGACGCUGAGACGCGAAAGCGUGGGGAGCAAACAGGGAUUAGAAACCCG